UUGAUUCACUUUUAGUUUUUAAAAAACAGUAUUUCUUUGCUUGUCCAUGCUCAAGCUCCAAAAAAAAUAUUUUGUUGCAGAUAAGAUAUGAAUGAGCUCAUCAAUGAUGUGACAAUCAAAACUCGUGAUGCUACAACUCGAUCAACAGCUGCAAGGGGACGUAAGCAGAAUGCUCGGGUUAACUAAGGUCACCGGAUUAUUGAAUAUGAAUGCAAAUCGGAAGGCAUUUUGAGUAAUUAAAAGCAAAUAUAUUUAGCAGUUGGGAGCACAUAUUGAGUAUACUUUGCAAAUUUUGAUUCACAUUGUGCAGCAAUGAAAAUUGUAGGCAAAUCAAUAGGUAA
Panicum virgatum (switchgrass) is the source of this 341-nucleotide long non-coding RNA. RefSeq lists it as uncharacterized. The record is from RefSeq and is a predicted model, not a curated record. The transcript is spliced from 2 exons. Lineage: Eukaryota; Viridiplantae; Streptophyta; Magnoliopsida; Poales; Poaceae.